GACGAACGCUGGCGGUGUGCUUAACACAUGCAAGUCGAACGGUAAGGCCCUUUCGGGGGUACACGAGUGGCGAACGGGUGAGUAACACGUGAGUAACCUGCCCUCAUCUCUGGGAUAACAGUCGGAAACGGUUGCUAAUACUGGAUAUGAGCUUGCAAGGCAUCUUGUGGGUUGGAAAGAUUUUUUUUGGUUGGGGAUGGACUCGCAGCCUAUCAGCUUGUUGGUGAGGUAGUGGCUCACCAAGGCUUCGACGGGUAGCCGGCCUGAGAGGGCGACCGGCCACAUUGGGACUGAGAUACGGCCCAAACUCCUACGGGAGGCAGCAGUGGGGAAUAUUGCACAAUGGACGGAAGUCUGAUGCAGCAACGCCGCGUGCGGGAUGACGGCCUUCGGGUUGUAAACCGCUUUCAAUUGUGACGAAGCUUUUUUGUGACGGUAGCAGUAGAAGAAGCACCGGCUAACUACGUG
RNAcentral lists this ribosomal RNA (468 nucleotides) under uncultured bacterium. Its description in RNAcentral is "partial 16S ribosomal RNA". It matches the Rfam family "Bacterial small subunit ribosomal RNA", at positions 28 to 507 of the family's 1533-position model. The record is from RNAcentral.